Molecule: ribosomal RNA, 433 nt
Filed under: uncultured bacterium
Lineage: Bacteria
Description: partial 16S ribosomal RNA
Rfam family: Bacterial small subunit ribosomal RNA
Source: RNAcentral
AACGAACGCUGGCGGCAUGCCUAACACAUGCCAGUCGAACGAGACCUUCGGGUCUAGUGGCGCACGGGUGCGUAACGCGUGGGAACCUGCCCUUAGGUUCGGAAUAACUCCCCGAAAGGGGUGCUAAUACCGGAUAAUGUCUUCGGACCAAAGAUUUAUCGCCUUUGGAUGGGCCCGCGUUGGAUUAGCUAGUUGGUAGGGUAAAAGCCUACCAAGGCGACGAUCCAUAGCUGGUCUGAGAGGAUGAUCAGCCACACUGGGACUGAGACACGGCCCAGACUCCUACGGGAGGCAGCAGUGGGGAAUAUUGGACAAUGGGCGAAAGCCUGAUCCAGCAAUGCCGCGUGAGUGAUGAAGGCCUUAGGGUUGUAAAGCUCUUUUACCCGGGAUGAUAAUGACAGUAUCGGGAGAAUAAGCGCCGGCUAACUCCGUG